RNAcentral lists this ribosomal RNA (253 nucleotides) under uncultured bacterium. RNAcentral's name for it is "partial 16S ribosomal RNA". It matches the Rfam family "Bacterial small subunit ribosomal RNA", at positions 524 to 776 of the family's 1533-position model. The record is from RNAcentral.
UACGUAGGGUGCAAGCGUUGUCCGGAAUUAUUGGGCGUAAAGAGCUCGUAGGCGGCUUGUCACGUCGACUGUGAAAACCCGGGGCUCAACUCCGGGCCUGCAGUCGAUACGGGCUGGCUUGAGUGCGGUAGGGGAGACUGGAAUUCCUGGUGUAGCGGUGAAAUGCGCAGAUAUCGGGAAGAACACCCGUGGCGAAGGCGGUUCUCUGGGACGGUACUGACGCUGAGACGCGAAAGCGUGGGGGGCGAACAGG